GAACGCUGGCGGCAGGCUUAACACAUGCAAGUCGAACGGGCACCUUCGGGUGUCAGUGGCAGACGGGUGAGUAACACGUGGGAACGUGCCCUUUGGUUCGGAACAACUCCGGGAAACUGGAGCUAAUACCGGAUAAGCCCUUCGGGGAAGGAUUUAUCGCCAAAGGAUCGGCCCGCGUCUGAUUAGCUAGUUGGUGAGGUAAUGGCUCACCAAGGCGACGAUCAGUAGCUGGUCUGAGAGGAUGAUCAGCCACACUGGGACUGAGACACGGCCCAGACUCCUACGGGAGGCAGCAGUGGGGAAUAUUGGACAAUGGGCGAAAGCCUGAUCCAGCCAUGCCGCGUGAGUGAUGAAGGCUUAGGUUGUAAAGCUCUUUCGGCGGGACGAUAAUGACGGUACCCGCAGAAGAACGCCCCGG
RNAcentral lists this ribosomal RNA (418 nucleotides) under uncultured bacterium. Its description in RNAcentral is "bacterial SSU rRNA". It matches the Rfam family "Bacterial small subunit ribosomal RNA", at positions 31 to 496 of the family's 1533-position model. The record is from RNAcentral.